This 301-nucleotide ribosomal RNA is filed under the name uncultured bacterium. RNAcentral's name for it is "partial 16S ribosomal RNA". It matches the Rfam family "Bacterial small subunit ribosomal RNA", at positions 509 to 808 of the family's 1533-position model. The record is from RNAcentral.
CAGCAGCCACGGUAAUACGGAGGGUGCAAGCGUUAAUCGGAAUUACUGGGCGUAAAGCGCACGCAGGCGGUCUGACAAGUCAGAUGUGAAAUCCCCGGGCUUAACCUGGGAACUGCAUUUGAAACUGUCAGGCUGGAGUCUUGUAGAGGGGGGUGGAAUUCCAGGUGUAGCGGUGAAAUGCGUAGAGAUCUGGAGGAAUACCGGUGGCGAAGGCGGCCCCCUGGACAAAGACUGACGCUCAGGUGCGAAAGCGUGGGGAGCAAACAGGAUUAGAUACCCGGUAGUCCCUGUCUCUUAUACA